Molecule: ribosomal RNA, 783 nt
Filed under: Triticum aestivum (bread wheat)
Lineage: Eukaryota; Viridiplantae; Streptophyta; Magnoliopsida; Poales; Poaceae
Description: partial small subunit ribosomal RNA
Source: RNAcentral
AUGUUGCGCCAUCACCUUGAUCAUGAUGCAAUCUGUACCAUCUGUGGGCAAGAGACUGAGACGACAUUUCACGCACUUGUCCAAUGCCCACAUGCACGUAAUCUUUGGACUGUGAUGAGAUUAGUUUGGGACCUUCCUGCUGAUAACUCACUCAAAGGUAUGGAACCGGAAUGGCUCCUUCUUUGCCUCCAGCAAUUAGAUGAGACCCAGCGUAUGCUCCUGCUCAUGCUACUAUCGCGUGUAUGGCAUGUUCGAAACGAACUUACCCAUGACAAACCACUAAUCCCGGUCGAGGCAUCGAAGAAAUUUCUCUGUAGCUAUGUUGAUUCCUUGCUACUUAUCAAACAGGGGCCAGAGGUGGACAUCCUCAAGGGGAAGCAACCAGCUCUUUUAUCCAACAAUGGUGCUCAACAUAAGUUGGAGCCUAGCGUACAACCCAGUUGGAUUCCUCUUCCAUGUGGUGUUGCAAAGUUCAAUUUUGACGGUUCGUUUGUACAGGCAGAUGGAACAGCUGGUGCCGGUAUGAUCCUACGUGAUCACACAGGUGCGGUUAUCUACGCGGCAUGCAGAUGGAUCCGGAACUGCUCGGGCGCACUGGAGGCAGAGCUAUCGGCGUGUGAGGAGGGCCUGAAGCUGGCGUUGCACUUGACUCCCUUGCCUAUCCAGGUCGAGACAGAUUGUGCGGAGAUAUUGAAGCUCCUUGAAUUAGGUUCAAAGGGAAGAUCAAGGAAUAUGUUUCAAGUGGCGGCCAAGCAGAGCUAUCGGCGUGUGAGGAGGGCCUGA